RNAcentral lists this ribosomal RNA (271 nucleotides) under uncultured Hydrogenophaga sp. RNAcentral describes it as "partial 16S ribosomal RNA". It matches the Rfam family "Bacterial small subunit ribosomal RNA", at positions 1105 to 1382 of the family's 1533-position model. The record is from RNAcentral. Lineage: Bacteria; Pseudomonadati; Pseudomonadota; Betaproteobacteria; Burkholderiales; Comamonadaceae.
UUGUCAUUAGUUGCUACGAAAGGGCACUCUAAUGAGACUGCCGGUGACAAACCGGAGGAAGUGGGGAUGACGUCAAGUCCUCAUGGCCCUUAUGGGUAGGGCUGCACACGUCAUACAAUGGCCGGUACAAAGGGCAGCCAACCCGCGAGGGGGAGCCAAUCCCGUAAAGCCGGUCGUAGUCCGGAUCGCAGUCUGCAACUCGACUGCGUGAAGUCGGAAUCGCUAGUAAACGCAGGUCAGCCAUACUGCGUUGAAUACGUUCCCGGGGCUU